Molecule: ribosomal RNA, 82 nt
Filed under: Mesoaciditoga lauensis
Lineage: Bacteria; Thermotogati; Thermotogota; Thermotogae; Mesoaciditogales; Mesoaciditogaceae
Description: partial 16S ribosomal RNA
Rfam family: Bacterial small subunit ribosomal RNA
Source: RNAcentral
UUUGGACGGAGAGUUCGAUCCUGGCUCAGGACAAACGCUGGCGGCGUGCCUAACACAUGCAAGUCGAACGACAGGUACGGAA